Molecule: ribosomal RNA, 351 nt
Filed under: Plasmodium praefalciparum (nom. ined.)
Lineage: Eukaryota; Apicomplexa; Aconoidasida; Haemosporida; Plasmodiidae
Description: Plasmodium sp. gorilla clade G1 rRNA
Source: RNAcentral
AUAUGAAACGAUUAAAAAAAUAAAGGGGAUUUAUAGGAAUUAUAUUUUAUUUUAGAAAUCUUAAAGAUUUCUUCAAAAUAUAUACAAUUCUUAUGAAUCCUUUUUAUUUUGUACUUUUUUUAUAAAAAGUUAAUAAUAUCUAUAUAUUGUUACUUAAUUUAUAAAAAUUGUACGAAAAUUUGGUAUUGCAUAAUAUUUUUAUGCUUUACCAGAUUUUCAUCAACAAUAUUGAAUUCUCAAUAUUUUGCAUAUAAGUAUAUUUAUCAUUACAUAUUAUUAUUUCUAGUUAAUUAUAUUUUGAAGAAAAGAUACAUAUAAUAUAUAUUAUAUAUCGUAAUUCAUAAAUAUAAU